RNAcentral lists this ribosomal RNA (440 nucleotides) under uncultured bacterium. Its description in RNAcentral is "partial 16S ribosomal RNA". It matches the Rfam family "Bacterial small subunit ribosomal RNA", at positions 338 to 795 of the family's 1533-position model. The record is from RNAcentral.
CCUACGGGAGGCAGCAGUGGGGGAUAUUGCACAAUGGGGGGAACCCUGAUGCAGCGACGCCGCGUGGGUGAAGAAGCGCCUCGGCGCGUAAAGCCCUGUCAGCAGGGAAGAAAAUGACGGUACCUGAAGAAGAAGCCCCGGCUAACUACGUGCCAGCAGCCGCGGGAAUACGUAGGGGGCAAGCGUUAUCCGGAUUUACUGGGUGUAAAGGGGGCGCAGACGGCGAUGCAAGCCAGGAGUGAAAGCCCGGGGCCCAACCCCGGGACUGCUCUUGGAACUGCGGGGAUGGAGUGCAGGAGGGGCAGGCGGAAUUCCUGGUGUAGCGGUGAAAUGCGUAGAUAUCAGGAGGAACACCGGUGGCGAAGGCGGCCUGCUGGACUGCAACUGACGUUGAGGCCCGAAAGCGUGGGGAGCAAACAGGAUUAGAUACCCGUGUAGUC